Molecule: transfer RNA, 77 nt
Filed under: Mycoplasmataceae bacterium
Lineage: Bacteria; Bacillati; Mycoplasmatota; Mollicutes; Mycoplasmatales; Mycoplasmataceae
Description: tRNA-Pro
Rfam family: tRNA
About the family: Transfer RNA (tRNA) molecules are approximately 80 nucleotides in length. Their secondary structure includes four short double-helical elements and three loops (D, anti-codon, and T loops).
Source: RNAcentral
CGAGAAGUAGCUUAGCUUGGUAGAGCACUUGGUUUGGGACCAAGGGGUCGCAGGUUCAAAUCCUGUCUUCUCGACCA